UCACAGGAGGUCCAACUAGAGCGCACGCUGCUUAACAUCCGAAGCAAGGAUUCUGAUCUCGAGAAGAGCACGUACCUGCAGGUGAUGUGUGGUGAAACUAUGGAUGUCUCGUGCGUUUGCGUGGCUGAAGUGUUAGGAUGUGCUUUUUAGUGUUCACCAAGAGGAGAACUUGGGUGCCAACUUUGGUUUUUGCACGCAUUACAGCUGGGAAAGCGUUGUCCCUUUCUGGUCACACUUUCGUUCCUGUUCAUGAAUUGCUCACCGUCGCCUGGGGUAAAGAUUUUUGUGUUCUCGGAGCUCGCGAAGAAAGCGUAAGGAAACAAAAAGGCACCACAUAGGAAGCGUAGCAUAUAGCAUUGUGCAAGAUGUAUCAGCAAUGCAUAUAUUCUCUCAGAGACGGGAAAUCUCGCUGAAGACAAUAAUUCUGCAAAU
Molecule: long non-coding RNA, 432 nt
Filed under: Volvox carteri
Lineage: Eukaryota; Viridiplantae; Chlorophyta; Chlorophyceae; Chlamydomonadales; Volvocaceae
Description: long non-coding RNA (VCAR_LNC003352)
Source: RNAcentral